Molecule: ribosomal RNA, 279 nt
Filed under: uncultured bacterium
Lineage: Bacteria
Description: partial 16S ribosomal RNA
Rfam family: Bacterial small subunit ribosomal RNA
Source: RNAcentral
UGCCAGCAGCCGCGGUAAUACGAAGGGUGCUAGCGUUGUUCGGAAUCACUGGGCAUAAAGAGCACGUAGGCGGUUUGGUUAGUCUGAUGUGAAAUCCCCCGGCUCAACCGGGGAACUGCAUCGGAUACUGCCUGACUAGAGUGCAGGAGGGGAGAGUGGAAUUCCUGGUGGAGCGGUGAAAUGCGUAGAUAUCAGGAGGAACAUCGGUGGCGAAGGCGACUUCCUGGCUCGUAUCUGACGCUGAGACGCGAAAGCGUGGGGAGCGAACGGGAUUAGAUA